CGUGGCGCACUCAAGUACGGGGACGAUCUGGCGUCGGUGGUGUGGAGGUGCCUGGUAUAAGAACGGUGGAGACUGAUUAAUAAUGGAAUGCAGGUGUGCCGGUGAUCAGCCGCAAGCAGCUACUUCCAUCCAGCAUCUGUGACCUGCAGCUGCACUCUGAGCAGGUACCCUCCACCACCCAGCUCCACCUGCCACGAGAUGACUCAAGACUCCCCACUGUGGCAGGCUCAGACGCCCUCCCGCAGAGCGUUCUGACAGGAUCUGCUCCUGUCUUGGUUCGAUUCAUGGUUGGCAAAGUCUCUUUCAGUUGACAUACCUCUAAAUUAAUAAGUGCAUCACAUAAACAGAUUUGGAUUUUAGCUAUCUUAGGUUCACAGCUGGAAAAUACACCUGGUGUGCCACUUUUCACCUUCAUGUUGUCAAGACAACAUCAGUGCUUGAAAUGGGCCACACACCCUCUAGUACUGGUCCUUUUUUUCCCCGUCCACAUGUGUAACAUUGUUAUUUAAAGUGUGCUGCCACUUACUGUUGAAUGUUGGCACAUGCUGUGUAGUUUCAUCAAGUAUGAGGCUUGAAUUCCUCUUGUCCAAACAAGUCUGGAGAAGCAUAAAUGUGCUACUGCUCUUCGUUACCUGAGUUGCAUAUUAGCACUCACCAGGGGACAGCUGCUGGAUGGAAGCUAAAGCCUUCUGCUCUCGCCUCCAAAAUCUUCCACCAGCACAGACUUGAUGUCCACAUAAUUAGUGCCAACAUUUUCUUUCAAUUUGAAAUUUAGAUGCCUCUAUGCAGCCAAUUAGCAUGCAUGUGGAUGGAUGCUAGCUACAGGUGGAGUGUUCAUGGAAGAAGAUGGGCUCUUCAGCAGAUCCCUCUUGAGCAAGAGUGGUUUCGUGGAAACACCAAUGGUAACACUUUUUUUUAAAGAUUAUAAAAAUGUUUUUUUUGUAGCUAUGUCUUCCAAUUUACUUUUUCCACACAUUGGGGUUGAGAUUGGAUCAGCCCAUAUUCCUUGCAAAUACUUGACAAAGCACUCAAUAUUGACCAUCUACAACCUCCAAACACAUUUAUGUGUUUUAUGUCCAUUCCAGCUAAAUAUGUGUGUGCGUGUGUCAAACAAACACUGUUGUAUUUCUUUAAAGCAAUCAUGGUUUCACAAGCUGCCACUUGAGCUCAUGUGCUGCAGCCUCUUAGCAAAAGUUUGCUCUGACCUUCUGUGAUUUUAGUUGUCUUCUCUGUGUGGAUUUACUUUGUUCUCCUUGUUUGUUCAUGAAGCACUUUGAGGCGUGCUUGUGAUAAGGGUCUGUACACUGUAAAUUGAUCUUGACACAGCGCCAGUGUGUUAUGAUGCACCUGAACACCUCACAACAAAUCAAAGGCUCCUUCGUAUAAUUAAUAAACGCCAUGUACAGAAAGAUGCAGAGGCAGAGUGAGAGAGGGGCAGAAAGUCAAGAAAAAAAGUAACAGAUGCUUGAUGGCGAAAAAAGCAGCAGUGCAACACAUGAAUAUGCUCUGCUGAAUCCAUCCAUCUGCCUGCUUCUCCAUCU
This is a long non-coding RNA of Siniperca chuatsi (mandarin fish), 1541 nucleotides long. RefSeq lists it as uncharacterized. NCBI's taxonomy places the organism in Eukaryota, Metazoa, Chordata, Actinopteri, Centrarchiformes, Sinipercidae. The transcript has 3 exons. The record is from RefSeq and is a predicted model, not a curated record.